UACGAAGGGGGCUAGCGUUGCUCGGAAUUACUGGGCGUAAAGCGCACGUAGGCGGAUUGUUAAGUCGGGGGUGAAAUCCUGGAGCUCAACUCCAGAACUGCCUUCGAUACUGGCGAUCUCGAGUUCGGGAGAGGUGAGUGGAACUGCGAGUGUAGAGGUGAAAUUCGUAGAUAUUCGGAAGAACACCAGUGGCGAAGGCGACUUACUGGACACAUAUUGACGCUGAGGUGCGAAAGCGUGGGGAGCAAACAGG
Molecule: ribosomal RNA, 253 nt
Filed under: uncultured bacterium
Lineage: Bacteria
Description: partial 16S ribosomal RNA
Rfam family: Bacterial small subunit ribosomal RNA
Source: RNAcentral